Non-coding RNA from Megalopta genalis, 1505 nucleotides. Lineage: Eukaryota; Metazoa; Arthropoda; Insecta; Hymenoptera; Halictidae. The record is from RefSeq and is a predicted model, not a curated record.
UUAAAAAUUUUCUUUUAAUUUUAAAAAAUUCUUUUUUCUAUGAAGGGUAUGCGAUGAAAAUGUAAAGCCAUUUUAUUUUCUGUCGAUUAUCCUUUAUUAAAUUUGUCAUAUAUUGCGACAGGUAUGAAAAAAUAGAAUUAUGUACAUCUUAUCUUCAUUCGAUACAUUCAUUCGACACGUUCAUUCAUACAACUAGAAUUCUUCUCAUUUGAAGAAACAACUAUCUACCGUGCCCAAAUCAGGCAUUUGUAUUAUUGAACAUUACAACCUUUCUAUUUCUCUAUUUUAUAAACAAAUAUCGAACGGAAAACGCAUGGUAAUCGGGAUCGAUGAAAUACUUUGAAGUACAUAUAAUUAUUACCAUUACGAAUAUUACUCCACGUUAAAAAUUCUAACAUGUCGGAAAACUACCUUAUAGUAUUACAAAAUUUAAUAUAUUUUACGUCAGGUUUCACACAGUUGAAUGAGAACAACGUCCCACACGAAUAAAAGAAAAAACAUAAUAACAAUAUACAGUGGCCUUAAUUAAAUAAAAUAUCGCCUACCGUCACUGUACAUUAAAAAUAUAUACAAUAUAUAUAAUAUAGUACACGAAGCUUGUCAAUAAGCAGUCAGCGAGCAAGUAUCGAAAUUAAUGACGCCGAUAACGCUUGGUGAUUAAAAUUAUUUCACCGGGAUCUAUUCAAUAUCAGUCUUCAACGGUCUACUCAGCAACGCCAUGCAGAUAGUCAUUCAUUCCUAAUCGAAACGAAUGAUUAAUCUCGUUCUAGAACAGGUUCCGAAAAGUAUGGCCUCCGGAAUGCGUUUGCGGCGGUUCAAAUGGUGUAAGGACGGUCGUGUAUCACACUUCCUUUGCGGAAGUGGAAGCGCCACCGUCGACAGCGUCCUGCGCCGCCGCAAUGGCCGCUCUCUGUUCAGCGGCGGCGCUACGCGUAAAACGUCUUGUCGACGCUGGAAACUCAGGGAUUGGCUCAACCGUCCUCUCGGGAGUUGCGGCCUUAACUCUGUUGUUGCGUUUCGGUUUCUGGUUCUCCGUGAGAACACGCUGACGGUUGAGCUCUUUCCCCUCCGCAGUCCGCUUCCAUUUAUAGUAAUAUACGACGAUUUCUCCCUGCAACAUUAUAAAAAAAAAAGCUUUGAACAUAUCGUGCAUGAAAAAUAUACGUACGAUUAUUUUUUUGGAGGAACGAUCAACCGCGAAGCAUGGAUUUAUCAACGUGUUUACUUCAAGAAGAAAACUUCUGUUCGACUUUCAAGGUCUUCCUAGAAUCGAACGAUCGAAAAUAGUGGUAGAUCUCGAAGCGAUGAUUACUCGAAAGAGCAGAGAUAAUAGAAAUAAUGAUAAUAAGCAAGAAAAAAGAAAAGGAAAAAUCUGACGAUGAAAUUGAACUUACCCUGGUCUUUUCCGGCAAAUAUUGCUUUCUUAAAGAGGCAAAAUCCUUGCCGUGUACUACAUAACCUGCGGCGAACAGCUUCUGAAAAAUAUAACAUAAUAUUAUAGAAUA